GUUAAUAUUAAUGCCCUGUACAUCCUGAGUACAUGUUUCCAGAAAGAGGUGAUCCAGGAGGCUGCCAAGUGGCCUGCAGGUGACAUCCAGAGGGCAGAAAAUGCCCAUGCAGGUCCACGUGUGGGUCCUUAAGCCCCUUGAGGAAAAGGGAGGAGAAAAGGACAAAGAAGGCUCUCCCUUUCCCUUGGAUCCCCUUCUACUCCCACAUGCCUAGUGGGAGCCUCCCUCUUCUGCUUGAGCCUUCAGGACAGGUUCAGGACCCUGUCUCCUACCUGGCUGGGCCAGAAAUGAGGAACAUGUUGCAAGCCUUCCUCCACCUGACUUGCCAAGUCCAUACAGGCUGGGGCCUUAGAUCCAACAACUUAGAAAGGGUGCCCACACUCCUGUUCUUUAGAAGAAAGGGACGGCAGGAGUCUGAUCAUCUGUCCGAUGCCCACACAGUGGCUGUGCUGAGUGACGUGUUGUUUUGAGGAUGUCCCUACCCCCUGGUCUUGCCGUCGGUCUCCAGUACCCAGCGAAGCAAGCUGUGGGCUCUGAGGAGCUCACACCAGGGAGGAGCUGCCCUGGAGUGGAGCAACAGCAUGUCCUCUCCCCUGUGUGACUGCAGUGCUAUAAUAAUAAUAACAGAAAGCUGGCAUUUCUUGAGCUCUUACUGUGUGCCAGAGACACCGCUCUAAGUGCUUACACAUAUGUAUUCGUUUUCUGUAGUUGCUGUAACAAAUUAUCACAAACUUUAAACAUUGAACUUAUGGCAUAAAGCAACA
RNAcentral lists this long non-coding RNA (764 nucleotides) under Homo sapiens (human). RNAcentral describes it as "non-protein coding lnc-RNF26-1:15". The record is from RNAcentral. Lineage: Eukaryota; Metazoa; Chordata; Mammalia; Primates; Hominidae.